AUCGAGGUUAAAGGUACCCGUACCGCAAACCGACACAGGUGGGUGAGGAGAGUAUCCUAAGGCCAGCGAGAGAACUGUUGUUAAGGAACUCGGCAAAAUGACCCCGUAACUUAGGGAUAAGGGGUGCCACCAUCAGGUGGCCGCAGCGAAUAGGCCCAAGCGACUGUUUACCAAAAACAUAGGUUUCUGCUAAGUCGCAAGACGAUGUAUAGGAGCUGACGCCUGCCCGGUGCUGGAAGGUUAAGGGGAGCUGUUAGAGCAAUCGAAGCAGUGAACUUAAGCCCCAGUAAACGGCGGCCGUAACUAUAACGGUCCUAAGGUAGCGAAAUUCCUUGUCGGGUAAGUUCCGACCCGCACGAAAGGCGUAACGAUUUGGGCACUGUCUCA
Molecule: ribosomal RNA, 387 nt
Filed under: Clostridioides difficile
Lineage: Bacteria; Bacillati; Bacillota; Clostridia; Peptostreptococcales; Peptostreptococcaceae
Description: bacterial LSU rRNA
Rfam family: Bacterial large subunit ribosomal RNA
Source: RNAcentral